RNAcentral lists this long non-coding RNA (586 nucleotides) under Homo sapiens (human). Its description in RNAcentral is "HSALNT0123812". The record is from RNAcentral. Lineage: Eukaryota; Metazoa; Chordata; Mammalia; Primates; Hominidae.
GCAUGAGCCACUGCGCUUGGCUGUUUUUUCCUCCUCCUCCUCCUCCUCCUCCUCCUUUACAGGCGUGAGCCACUGCAACUGGCUGUUUCCUCCUCCUCCUUUGCAGGCUUGAGCCACUGUGCCUGGCUGUUUCUUCCUCCUCUUUCUCCUUUACAGGCGUGAGCCACCACGCCUGGCUGUUUCCUCCUGCUCCUCCUCCUCUUCCUCUUCCUUUACAGGUGUGAGAGCCACCAGGCCUGGCUGUUUCUUCCUUCUCCUCCUCCUCCUCAUUCUCCUCCUCCUUUACAGACCUGAGCCAGGGAGCCUGGCUGUUUCUUCCUCCUACUCCUCCUCUACAGGUGUAAGCCACCAAGCCUCGCCGUUUCCUUCUCCUCCUCCCUCUCCUCCUUCUCCCCCUCCUCCUCUUCUCCCCCUCCCUCCUCCCCCUCCUUUCCUCCUCCUCCCUUCUUCCUUUCCUCCUCUUCCACCUCCUUCUCCACCUCCUCCUCCUCCACCUCCUUCUCCUCCUCCUCCACCUCCUUCUCCUCCUCCUCUCCUCCUCCUCCCCUCCUCCUCCUCUCCUCCUCCCCCUCUCCUCCUCUCCUCC